This 253-nucleotide ribosomal RNA is filed under the name uncultured bacterium. Its description in RNAcentral is "partial 16S ribosomal RNA". It matches the Rfam family "Bacterial small subunit ribosomal RNA", at positions 524 to 776 of the family's 1533-position model. The record is from RNAcentral.
UACAGAGGGUGCGAGCGUUGUCCGGAAUCACUGGGCGUAAAGGGCGCGUAGGCGGCCUGAUAAGUCGGGGGUGAAAUCCUGUGGCUUAACCACAGGGCUGCCUCCGAGACUGUCGGGCUCGAGCACAGUAGAGGCAGGUGGAAUUCCCGGUGUAGCGGUGGAAUGCGUAGAGAUCGGGAAGAACAUCGGUGGCGAAGGCGGCCUGCUGGGCUGUUGCUGACGCUGAGGCGCGACAGCGUGGGGAGCAAACGGG